CAGCAGCCGCGGUAAUACGUAGGGUGCGAGCGUUAAUCGGAAUUACUGGGCGUAAAGCGUGCGCAGGCGGUUAUAUAAGACAGAUGUGAAAUCCCCGGGCUCAACCUGGGACCCGCAUUUAUGACUGUAUAGCUAGAGUACGGUAGAGGGGGAUGGAAUUCCGCGUGUAGCAGUGAAAUGCGUAGAUAUGCGGAGGAACACCGAUGGCGAAGGCAAUCCCCUGGACCUGUACUGACGCUCAUGCACGAAAGCGUGGGGAGCAAACAGGAUUAGAUACCCCCGUAGUCCCUGUCUCUUAUAC
RNAcentral lists this ribosomal RNA (301 nucleotides) under uncultured bacterium. RNAcentral's name for it is "partial 16S ribosomal RNA". It matches the Rfam family "Bacterial small subunit ribosomal RNA", at positions 509 to 807 of the family's 1533-position model. The record is from RNAcentral.